UGGCUCAGUGGUUAAGAGCACUGGCUGAAAUUCCAGAGGUCCUGAGUUCAAUUCCCAG
RNAcentral lists this transfer RNA (58 nucleotides) under Cricetulus griseus (Chinese hamster). It matches the Rfam family "tRNA", at positions 8 to 63 of the family's 71-position model. From Rfam's summary of the family: Transfer RNA (tRNA) molecules are approximately 80 nucleotides in length. Lineage: Eukaryota; Metazoa; Chordata; Mammalia; Rodentia; Cricetidae. The record is from Rfam by way of RNAcentral.